This 259-nucleotide ribosomal RNA is filed under the name uncultured bacterium. RNAcentral's name for it is "partial 16S ribosomal RNA". It matches the Rfam family "Bacterial small subunit ribosomal RNA", at positions 95 to 354 of the family's 1533-position model. The record is from RNAcentral.
CCGGCGCACGGGUGAGUAACGCGUAUGCAACUUACCUAUCAGAGGGGGAUAACCCGGCGAAAGUCGGACUAAUACCGCAUGAAGCAGGGCCCCGCAUGUGGAUAUUUGCUAAAGAUUCAUCGCUGAUAGAUAGGCAUGCGUUCCAUUAGGCAGUUGGCGGGGUAACGGCCCACCAAACCGACGAUGGAUAGGGGUUCUGAGAGGAAGGUCCCCCACACUGGUACUGAGACACGGACCAGACUCCUACGGAAGGCAGCAG